CUAAAGGGAGGAGCUUCCCAAACUCAGAGUCCUGUUACAGAACGCUGGAGAUUCUGGGAGAGAAGGAACAGCUCAAGUCAUUUUCUCUUUGCAGGUUUCUCCGGACAUCUAAAGGACGCACACUUCUUUCGCCUCACCGCGCAGGGUCACGCUCUCAGGAUUGAAGCAUGGAUGAUGAUUUCGAGCGGCGCAGGGAACUCAGGAGACAGAAGCGGGAGGAGAUGCGUCUGGAAGCUGAGAGGAUGGCGUAUCGCCGAAGUGAGGAGGAUGAGGAGGAGGCCGCUCGUGAGCGCAGACGAAGAGCGAGACAGGAGAGAAUGCGCAGUAAGGACAGCGAGGAUGUGGCCUACCAACCCGAGACCCCGGAGCUCAACAACAGCCACAGCGUGAUGGUGACAGAGAGUGUAUCCACCUCAGUGGUGACCUCCAGUGGGAUGGGAGAGGGGGACGAUGAGGAGCAGGCCCUGCUGGAGCGCCUGGCCAAGAGAGAGGAGCGCAGGCAGAGGAGGAUGAUGGAGGCGCUGGACAGACAGGAGGAGCUAGAGAGCAGCCAGACCUCCCGCCACAGCCUGGAGGAGAGCAGCGGAGGCCUGCGCCGCGGCCGGAGCUACGAGCCAGAGGAGGAGCACAACAGCAAGGAGGAGGUGAAACAGGUGGAAGAGGAAGAGGAGGAGGAGGAGGAGGUGCUGGUGGAGGAAAAGCCUCGGAGGUCUUAUCUGAGAGAACAGGAAUCCGUUGAGGAAAUAUCUAAAAUACCUGAGGAGGACAAAAAUGAGCGAGACGCAGUGCCGUCUUCUGAAGUACAUGAGGUGCUUGUAAAUGAAGACGUUGAUGAUUCGGAGACGGAAAAUGGCACCGCAGAGGGUGCACAGGAGGAAAAGAGUGAGAUUGAGGGAUUGACAGAGAAUGGAGUGGAUGAAAUGAGAGAGACAGAAAACUUUGAGAAAGAUGAGGUUUCAGAAAAUAACGAGUCUUUGAUGGAAGAGGAAGAUGUGUUGAGGAAGAAUAAACAGCCCAAUGGAGGAGUGUGCGAGGACAGCACUCCCAAACACAAGAAAGCUGAGAGGACUUUCAGCCGAGGCAGCUUGCGCUCUCCUGAGGCGCCAGAGGCAGACGAGGCAGACAGCGAGGAUGCUCGCUUGGAGGCCGAGAGAAAGCUGGAGGAACUGAAGAGGAGAAGAGAUGAGAUGGAGAGCGAGGAGUUUGAGAGGAUGAGGCAGAAACAGCAGGAGGCCGAGGUGGAGCUGGAGGAGCUGAAGAGGAAGAGGGAGGAGAGGAGGAAGGUGCUGGAAGAGGAGGAGCGGCGGAGGAAGCAGGAGGAGGCCGAGAGGAAAGCCAGAGAGGAGGAGGAAAAGAGGAGGAUGAAGGAGGAGAUUGAGAAGAGAAGAGCAGAGGCGGCCGAGAAGAGGCAGAAAGUGGAGGAUCCAGUGGACGGAGAGGGCAAGAAGCCCUUUAAGUGUGUCAGUCCCAGAGGAUCCUCAUUGAAGAUCGGUGAGAGGGCAGAAUUUCUCAACAGAUCAGCACAGAAGAGUUCUGUGAAGGCGUCUCACGCACCUGUGGUGUCUAAGAUUGAUAACCGAUUAGAGCAGUACACCAGCGCCGUACAGGGCAACAAAGAGGUCAGAUCUCCCAGAUCAGCUGCCAUAGAUCUUCCCGUGGUGACAGACGGUAUUCGCAACAUCAAGAGCAUGUGGGAGAAGGGGAAUGUCUUCAGCUCUGGUGGGAGCCUGGCGUCCACCAACAAGGAUGCAGCUGGGAUAAAGGUGGGCGUGGCCGGCCGCAUCAACGAUUGGUUGAAUAAAACUCCAGAGACGGGCAAAACGUCAGGAGGAAGACCCGCGGACCUGAAACCGGGCGACGUGACCAGCAAACGCAAUCUAUGGGAAAACAAAGGGUCCUCUGCUACCAAGCCGUCCCCUUGCUAAUUGUCUACAGAUCUGACCACCUUGAGGAGGUCCCAAGCAGAGGAGAGACCAAAUCUGUCACCAAUGGAAUGGGCCAUUAACCGUUCAAAGACGCCAGAGAGGCAGGGACCAAGAGAAUGCACAACAUUUUUUUUUUUUUUUUAAUACCAAAAAAAAUACAAGCAUGUUAUACUGCCAGGAAGAUCUAUGUGAGUAGACACAGUAUAAAAGAGAAAAAAAAGAAAAAAAAAUUACAACUAUAUAUAUUUUAUCACUGUAUUCACAGGUCACAGGUAUUGCACCAUCAUAACAUAAACGCAAUGUCUUUGCAUGUAACUUCUGGCUGUGAAAACAAGCAACAAGGUUAUUUGUUUCGAUUAUAUAACUAUUAUAUAACAGCAGCCAACUCAAAACAUUACAGAUUCCUUGAAAAGGAGGACGAGGAGUUGCAUUCCAAACUGUUUUUUUUUUUUUUUUUUUUUUUUUGUCAAAUCACGUUCAUUUUAAACAUGUUAGUUACCCUUCUCACCUGUUAAUUUAUAACUAAAGCAUAGCUUCACAUUGCAUUUCAUGCCUGUUCGCCAGUUCCAAACCGAAUAUGAGCACCUGUAGUCUAGCUGUAUUUUGUACUUUUUGUCGUAAUGACUUUUUUUUUUUUUUUUUUUAUAAAAAUUGUCUUAAUAAUAUAUGUUAGCACAUAGUGAACAUUUUUGUAAUUAACUAUAUAUUUUACUGCUUGAUACAAAAUGGUCUUUGUUUUUGCUCUCAAUAUUAUUUUAUAUCAAAGCAAGUUUUAAUUCAGAAGAAGUCCAUUAUAGUCAUACCGUUAGCAUUAUUUCAUUAUCUUUGGCUUUUUUACUCUUGGAAACACUGGUCUGAAAGUUCUUUUUGACCAUCUUUUUGUAAGUGUUAAUCAUGUGGAAUAAUCGGUAUUGGUUAAAAACAGUUAAACUCGAUAGAAAGGGAAAGUGCACUUUUUGGCUUAUAUUUGAGUACAUUUCACAGUUUUUCAUAUAAUGCAAGGCCUUGGUUAAUCCAAAACCAUCCAACGAGAAGGACGAAGUAAAUUCAUGUUUAAUGUUCAAGUGUAUAAUUUUUCUUCUUUCUGUUGCAAUCAUUCAUACUAAAUUGCAACAUGGAUGUCGUCGGCUUUCAAUGCAGCGCUAGUUGGCAGAACGUUAAUAAUGCCGUCAUUUAAACGCGUAUCAUUUCUGACAUCUUUUGUCAGACAAAGAAUAUCCAGUUCUGCCGCCGUAGCUUAUUGCUAAUGUCUCUAAAUGUUCAAAGUUCCUGUAUUCUGCUUGUAUUUUUUGACAAUCAGUUUUUUACCAUUUUUUUCAACACUUAUGUAUUGUUUCAGAGUAACACUAUGCAAGUCGCACCACCUUUAAUUGCAAUUAUCUUGUUACAAAUAUGACUGUUUGUAGUCUAUAGUUCCAUACAGAGCAAAUGUUUCAACUUGUAAUCAUUGUCUCAGUGACCACAAUAAAGAGACCAAUGAAAAACA
RNA transcript from Carassius auratus (goldfish), 3411 nucleotides. It is a transcript of the gene named non-muscle caldesmon-like, with no coding region annotated. Lineage: Eukaryota; Metazoa; Chordata; Actinopteri; Cypriniformes; Cyprinidae. The transcript has 17 exons. The record is from RefSeq and is a predicted model, not a curated record.